UACGUAGGUCCCGAGCGUUGUCCGGAUUUAUUGGGCGUAAAGCGAGCGCAGGUGGUUUAUUAAGUCUGGUGUAAAAGGCAGUGGCUCAACCAUUGUAUGCAUUGGAAACUGGUAGACUUGAGUGCAGGAGAGGAGAGUGGAAUUCCAUGUGUAGCGGUGAAAUGCGUAGAUAUCAGGAGGAACACCGGUGGCGAAGGCGGCCUGCUGGACUGCAACUGACGUUGAGGCGCGAAAGCGUGGGGAGCAAACAGG
RNAcentral lists this ribosomal RNA (252 nucleotides) under uncultured bacterium. RNAcentral describes it as "partial 16S ribosomal RNA". It matches the Rfam family "Bacterial small subunit ribosomal RNA", at positions 524 to 776 of the family's 1533-position model. The record is from RNAcentral.